RNAcentral lists this ribosomal RNA (253 nucleotides) under uncultured bacterium. RNAcentral's name for it is "partial 16S ribosomal RNA". It matches the Rfam family "Bacterial small subunit ribosomal RNA", at positions 524 to 776 of the family's 1533-position model. The record is from RNAcentral.
UACGGAGGAGGCAGGCGUUAUCCGGAAUUAUUGGGCGUAAAGCGUCCGCAGGUGGCACUUCAAGUCUGUCGUCAAAGACUGGGGCUUAACCCUGGAAAGGCGGUGGAAACUGAAGCGCUAGAGUGCGGUAGGGGUAGAGGGAAUUCCCGGUGUAGCGGUGAAAUGCGUAGAGAUCGGGAAGAACAUCGGUGGCGAAAGCGCUCUACUGGACCGCAACUGACACUCAGGGACGAAAGCUAGGGGAGCGAAUGGG